AGUGACGGCAGUGAAGCAGUCGGAUCGGUUAGGCGGGACGGCGGGCGGAAGGUCGUGGCGCAUUUCAACUCUCAUCCUCGUCGUCCCGUACGAGUUUUUCACGCGAGUGAGUGUUUCACGAGAGCCGUGGAGUGUCGAAAAUGAAGUGAAAUGUCGGACGUUCGUGCCAAAACGUCCGUCGUCGUCGCGUCGAAUACGAUGCAUAGUGCUAAGUCGUCUCUCGUUCAAUCGUAUUUUGCAUCUUCUCCGUUGUCUCCGUUGUUUGCGUCUUCUCGGAAUACUGGAGUCAACCCUCGUAUUUCGAGUUUUCGAUGCGUGUAAGUACCAGGAAUACAACGAAGUACCGAAAACCAAAGGUCGUGACAAAUGUGAAUCAAGACAAAUCGUCGCGAGGAUCUUGAAUCUCGAAUGUUCGAAAACUGCGGCCGAGACGGAGUUAGACGAAGCGACUAGCGACGAGCGAUAACCUAUGUACUUGCAUUGAAUGAGCAAUUAUUGCAUUACGUUAGUGACGAUGUACCCGGUGGCUCCUAUAAGUAUUACAGCCUGACGUAUGACGGCAACAUUAAGAUACGGUUGACAUCCAUAACAGGGGAUGCAGAUUU
Molecule: long non-coding RNA, 605 nt
Organism: Solenopsis invicta (red fire ant)
Lineage: Eukaryota; Metazoa; Arthropoda; Insecta; Hymenoptera; Formicidae
Exons: 3
Source: RefSeq, a predicted model, not a curated record